UUGAUCAUGUCCCAAGAGACUGAAAAUAAGAUUAUAUAAACUUGAAUGCAAACAUAUCAUAUGUUAAUCUUAAUUUUUUUUGUUGCUCAAAAUUAAUUAAUUAGUUCUACUAUUCUUUUUUUAAUUGUAUGGUGGGAAACACAUUGGUCACUUCUGAAUCAUGUUGCAUAUUUGUUAACUCAAAAAAACAGUACACUUUUGUAUCAAUCAAACUCACUUUGUUAAUAUUCUUCAUCAUUAUGGUUAAUGGCUUAGCAAAUGUAGAAGGAGUCAACCAAAAUGAAUCACUUUCUCUUGUAUUAACCUUUUAUUAAUUGUUGAAGUUAAAAAAAAAUGUUAAAACAAAUUAAAAUAGUUCCAACUCAAAAUCAGUAGGGUGUAAGUAGGUUGUUAUAAAUAUUUUUAAAUUUUAGUCUAAUUUAAUUGUGUGAUGCAC
Molecule: long non-coding RNA, 436 nt
Filed under: Citrus x clementina
Lineage: Eukaryota; Viridiplantae; Streptophyta; Magnoliopsida; Sapindales; Rutaceae
Description: Citrus clementina (C. clementina) long non-coding RNA (CCLE_LNC002251)
Source: RNAcentral